Molecule: ribosomal RNA, 421 nt
Filed under: uncultured bacterium
Lineage: Bacteria
Description: partial 16S ribosomal RNA
Rfam family: Bacterial small subunit ribosomal RNA
Source: RNAcentral
AAUAUUGGACAAUGGGCGAAAGCCUGAUCCAGCCAUGCCGCGUGUGUGAAGAAGGUCNNNGGAUUNUNAAGCACUUUAAGUUGNGANNAAGGGGUUGAAGCUAAUACCUUCAAUCUUUGACGUUAUCAAAAGAAUAAGCACCGGCUAACUCUGUUCCAGAAGCCGAGGUAAUACAGAGGGUGCAAGCGUUAAUCGGAAUUACUGGGAGUAAAGCGCGCGUAGGUGGUUCAGUAAGAUGGGUGUGAAAUCCCCGGGCUUAACCUGGGAAAUGCUUUCAUAACUGCUGAGCUAGAGUACGGUAGAGGGUAGUGGAAUUUCCUGUGUAGCGGUGAAAUGCGUAGAUAUAGGAAGGAACACCAGUGGCGAAGGCGACUACCUGGACUGAUACUGACACUGAGGUGCGAAAGCGUGGGUAGCGAAC